ACAAGCGGUGGAUCAUGUUGUUUAAUUCGAUGAUACGCGAAGAACCUUACCAGGUCUUGACAUCCCCCGCGAUGCUUUAGAGAUAAAGCGGAGGUAUUCGGGGAGACAGGUGGUGCAUGGUUGUCGUCAGCUCGUGUCGUGAGAUGUUGGGUUAAGUCCCGUAACGAGCGCAACCCUUGUCCUUAGUUACCAGCACGUUAUGGUGGGCACUCUAAGGAGACUGCCGGUGACAAACCGGAGGAAGGUGGGGAUGACGUCAAGUCAUCAUGGCCCUUACGGCCUGGGCUACACACGUGCUACAAUGGUCGGUACAAAGGGUUGCCAAGCCGCGAGGUGGAGCUAAUCCCAUAAAACCGAUCGUAGUCCGGAUCGCAGUCUGCAACUCGACUGCGUGAAGUCGGAAUCGCUAGUAAUCGUGAAUCAGAAUGUCACGGUGAAUACGUUCCCGGGCCUU
This 454-nucleotide ribosomal RNA is filed under the name uncultured Pseudomonas sp. RNAcentral's name for it is "bacterial SSU rRNA". It matches the Rfam family "Bacterial small subunit ribosomal RNA", at positions 925 to 1382 of the family's 1533-position model. The record is from RNAcentral. Lineage: Bacteria; Pseudomonadati; Pseudomonadota; Gammaproteobacteria; Pseudomonadales; Pseudomonadaceae.